GGGUGCAAGCGUUACUCGGAAUUACUGGGCGUAAAGCGUGCGUAGGUGGUUUGUUAAGUCUGAUGUGAAAGCCCUGGGCUCAACCUGGGAAUUGCACUGGAUACUGGCAGGCUAGAGUGCGGUAGAGGAUGGCGGAAUUCCCGGUGUAGCAGUGAAAUGCGUAGAGAUCGGGAGGAACAUCUGUGGCGAAGGCGGCCAUCUGGACCAGCACUGACACUGAGGCACGAAAGCGUGGGGAGCAA
This 242-nucleotide ribosomal RNA is filed under the name uncultured Luteimonas sp. RNAcentral's name for it is "partial 16S ribosomal RNA". It matches the Rfam family "Bacterial small subunit ribosomal RNA", at positions 530 to 771 of the family's 1533-position model. Lineage: Bacteria; Pseudomonadati; Pseudomonadota; Gammaproteobacteria; Lysobacterales; Lysobacteraceae. The record is from RNAcentral.